UGGGUUUUUUUUUUAAAUUGCUCUGCUCGUUGCGGGCUUGUCCGAGAGGGGGGGUUGGUUGGUGGCUGCGGAGAAAAAACCAAACCCCCCCUCCCCCUCCGAGAGCCAACGGAACAAAAACAAAAGAAACUUCGCCGGGCUCCGAAAGUGGCAGCAAAGUGCCUGGCAAGUUGCAGGGAUGGAGCUACACAGCUUGCAAGAGGCGUUAAAAGUGGAAAUCCAGUGUCACCAGAAACUAGUUGCACAGAUGAAGCAAGAUCCACAGAACGGUGAUCUUAAGAAACAAAUCCAUGAAAGGCA
Chelydra serpentina (North American snapping turtle) is the source of this 300-nucleotide long non-coding RNA. Lineage: Eukaryota; Metazoa; Chordata; Testudines; Chelydridae. The record is from Ensembl.